This 114-nucleotide ribosomal RNA is filed under the name Pteropus alecto (black flying fox). Lineage: Eukaryota; Metazoa; Chordata; Mammalia; Chiroptera; Pteropodidae. The record is from RNAcentral.
CUCUACGGCCAUGCCACCCUGAACAAGCCCAAUCCUGUCUGAUCUUGGAAGCUAAGCAGGGCCUAGUUAAUACUUGGAUGAGAGACUAUCUAGGAAGACCAGGUGCUGUAGGCG